UCAGCCUCUUGGCUUUCCUAGAUAGUCAUAAGGUUGAAAACCAACAAUCUUUAUCCCAGACUAUAAAACCAAAUUCAGAACACAUCCCAACUUUCCCCCUGGAGUAAUAAGGAACUUAUCAAACAAAAAGUCAAUGAGGGAGAAACUGUACUUGUUGCAGCAAAUAAGGAUGUGAGGGAUAGUGUACCCACAGCUCUACCUCUCAAGAAGAAAAGGUG
Molecule: long non-coding RNA, 218 nt
Filed under: Daucus carota (carrot)
Lineage: Eukaryota; Viridiplantae; Streptophyta; Magnoliopsida; Apiales; Apiaceae
Description: long non-coding RNA (DCAR_LNC007692)
Source: RNAcentral